UCCUACGGGAGGCAGCAGUGGGGAAUUUUGGACAAUGGGCGCAAGCCUGAUCCAGCCAUGCCGCGUGAGUGAAGAAGGCCUUCGGGUUGUAAAGCUCUUUCGCAAGGGAAGAAAACGUGUGGGCUAAUAUCCUGCGCGGAUGACGGUACCUUGACAAGAAGCACCGGCUAACUACGUGCCAGCAGCCGCGGUAAUACGUAGGGUGCGAGCGUUAAUCGGAAUUACUGGGCGUAAAGCGUGCGCAGGCGGUUGUGUAAGACAGGUGUGAAAUCCCCGGGCUUAACCUGGGAACUGCGCUUGUGACUGCACGGCUAGAGUACGGCAGAGGGGGGUGGAAUUCCUGGUGUAGCAGUGAAAUGCGUAGAUAUCAGGAGGAACACCGAUGGCGAAGGCAGCCCCCUGGGCCUGUACUGACGCUCAUGCACGAAAGCGUGGGGAGCAAACAGGAUUAGAUACCCUGGUAGUCCU
This 468-nucleotide ribosomal RNA is filed under the name Pseudomonas sp. DCB_PUT. Its description in RNAcentral is "bacterial SSU rRNA". It matches the Rfam family "Bacterial small subunit ribosomal RNA", at positions 337 to 797 of the family's 1533-position model. Lineage: Bacteria; Pseudomonadati; Pseudomonadota; Gammaproteobacteria; Pseudomonadales; Pseudomonadaceae. The record is from RNAcentral.